RNAcentral lists this ribosomal RNA (398 nucleotides) under uncultured organism. RNAcentral's name for it is "bacterial SSU rRNA". It matches the Rfam family "Bacterial small subunit ribosomal RNA", at positions 45 to 433 of the family's 1533-position model. The record is from RNAcentral.
GGCCUAAUACAUGCAAGUCGAACGGUAACAUGUCCCGCAGCAAUGCGGGGUGAUGACGAGUGGCGCACGGGUGAGUAACGCGUAUGCAACCUACCUCCAACCGGGGAAUAGCCCCGGGAAACCGGGAUUAAUACCCCAUAAUAUCCAGAUGUGGCAUCAUAUCUGGAUUAAAAUUCAGAUGGUUGGAGAUGGGCAUGCGUGGCAUUAGCUAGUUGGUGAGGUAACGGCUCACCAAGGCAACGAUGUCUAGGGGGUCUGAGAGGAUGAUCCCCCACACUGGUACUGAGACACGGACCAGACUCCUACGGGAGGCAGCAGUAAGGAAUAUUGGGCAAUGGAGGCAACUCUGACCCAGCCAUGCCGCGUGCAGGAUGACAGCUCUAGUAGUUGUAAACUGC